Molecule: non-coding RNA, 135 nt
Organism: Triticum urartu
Lineage: Eukaryota; Viridiplantae; Streptophyta; Magnoliopsida; Poales; Poaceae
Source: Rfam
CAAAUACUCCCUCCGUUCGGAAAUACUUGUCAUCAAAAUGGAUAAAACGAAAUGUAUCUAGACGUAUUUUAGUUUUAGAUAUAUCUCUUUUGAUCCAUUUUGAUCACAAGUAUUUUCAGACGGAGGGAGUAGAAA